UAAAGUGUGGCUCAGUGGUAGAGCACUUGUCUAGCUAGCAUGGUGAUCCUUGAAAAUCUGGGUUCAAUCCCAAUCACUGCAA
Molecule: transfer RNA, 82 nt
Filed under: Marmota monax (woodchuck)
Lineage: Eukaryota; Metazoa; Chordata; Mammalia; Rodentia; Sciuridae
Description: tRNA.Ala
Source: RNAcentral